UUCCUUUUGUUCCUGCAGCACCAAAGCACCACCAGACCCCAUUUUCCAACUGCAGGGCAGCACAAAGGGUUGUGUCCCAGGGCUGCCCCCUCCAAAAUCCUCUCCCCUCCUCAGUCAGCACUGAGUGGGAACGUAGGGAUGGGGAAUGGUUGGGCUGGGAUUGCGGGAGAGCUGGGGCGGCUCGGCCUGCAGAAGAGGAGGCUCAGGGGGAUCCCAGGCACGGCCAUCAGUCCCUGCAGGGAGGUGCAGAGAGUUCUGAGCUGGGCUGCACCCAGCGGUGCCCAGCAGCAGGACCAGAGGCGCCGGGCACACACUGCAGCACAGCUGUGGUUGCAGCAUGACAAGAGCUGCAGCUCCUCCUCACUGAUGGUCUACAUCCCCAGCACUGCUGCCAAUGCCCCGUCCCGGUGGUCCGGGUGUGGGACGGUAACCCCCUGCCACUUCCUUCCACUGAAGAAGAGUGCAGAGGAAGCAGUGGAGGUGCCCAGGAGCAGCCAGGCCUGUCGAGCACCUCUGGGAGGCAGAGGCCGCGCUCGUUGUCCAGGGGGCAGCUCCCAGCCCCUCAAGGUGGUACCUGUGGGCAAUGGGGCUGCAGGGCCU
This 600-nucleotide long non-coding RNA is filed under the name Gallus gallus (chicken). RNAcentral's name for it is "lncRNA (ENSGALG00010020769.1)". Lineage: Eukaryota; Metazoa; Chordata; Aves; Galliformes; Phasianidae. The record is from RNAcentral.